GUCUCCAUAGUCUAGUGGUUAGGACGGCGGUCUCAUAGUAAUAUGACAAUUCCUAUCCAAAAGGAUUGGCAAUCCGCAAGCACGAGUUCGAUUCUCGUUGGAGGCA
This is a non-coding RNA of Aspergillus coremiiformis, 106 nucleotides long. The record is from the annotation of a GenBank genome assembly. Lineage: Eukaryota; Fungi; Ascomycota; Eurotiomycetes; Eurotiales; Aspergillaceae.